Molecule: ribosomal RNA, 223 nt
Filed under: uncultured bacterium
Lineage: Bacteria
Description: partial 16S ribosomal RNA
Rfam family: Bacterial small subunit ribosomal RNA
Source: RNAcentral
CGUAACGCGUAAGAACUUACCUUUUGAGGGGAUAACAUUGGGAAACCGCUGCUAAUACCCCAUAAUGCUGAGGAGCUAAACGGAUUCUGAAAAGAACAACAACCGCCAAGAGAGAGGCUUGCGUCUGAUUAGCUAGUUGGUGGAGGUAAUGGCUCCCCAAGGCGACGAUCAGUAGCUGGUCUGAGAGGAUGAUCAGCCACACUGGGACUGAGACACGGCCCAG